Molecule: ribosomal RNA, 499 nt
Filed under: uncultured bacterium
Lineage: Bacteria
Description: partial 16S ribosomal RNA
Rfam family: Bacterial small subunit ribosomal RNA
Source: RNAcentral
GACGAACGCUGGCGGCGUGCCUAAUACAUGCAAGUCGAGCGGACCGAACAGGAGCUUGCUCUUGUUCGGUUAGCGGCGGACGGGUGAGUAACACGUGGGUAACCUGCCCGUAAGACCGGGAUAACUCCGGGAAACCGGAGCUAAUACCGGAUAACACCGAAGACCGCAUGGUCUUUGGUUGAAAGGCGGCUUCGGCUGCCACUUACGGAUGGGCCCGCGGCGCAUUAGCUAGUUGGUGAGGUAACGGCUCACCAAGGCGACGAUGCGUAGCCGGCCUGAGAGGGUGACCGGCCACACUGGGACUGAGACACGGCCCAGACUCCUACGGGAGGCAGCAGUAGGGAAUCUUCCGCAAUGGACGAAAGUCUGACGGAGCGACGCCGCGUGAGCGAAGAAGGUCUUCGGAUCGUAAAGCUCUGUUGUUAGGGAAGAAGAAGCGUCGUUCGAACAGGGCGGCGCGGUGACGGUACCUAACGAGAAAGCCCCGACUAACUACGUG